Molecule: ribosomal RNA, 255 nt
Filed under: uncultured bacterium
Lineage: Bacteria
Description: partial 16S ribosomal RNA
Rfam family: Bacterial small subunit ribosomal RNA
Source: RNAcentral
UACGAAGGUGGCAAGCGUUGUUCGGAUUUACUGGGCGUAAAGGGAGCGUAGGUGGUUAGGUAAGCCCUCCGGGAAAUCUUCAGGCUUAACCUGAAAAGGUCGGGGGGGGACUGCCUAGCUAGAGGGCGGGAGAGGAGCGCGGAAUUCCCGGUGUAGCGGUGAAAUGCGCAGAUAUCAGGAGGAACACCAGCGGCGAAGGCGGCGCUCGUGGGCCGGAACUGACGCUGAGGAGCGAAAGCGUGGGUAGCAAACAGG